This is a long non-coding RNA of Gymnodraco acuticeps, 1184 nucleotides long. RefSeq lists it as uncharacterized. The transcript is spliced from 4 exons. The record is from RefSeq and is a predicted model, not a curated record. NCBI's taxonomy places the organism in Eukaryota, Metazoa, Chordata, Actinopteri, Perciformes, Bathydraconidae.
GGAGGAGGGUGGUGCUGGCAACGGCUGCAGGUGAUGACUGCUGAAAGAAGAGGAGGCUGGAGGCUGCUGACGGUGGACCAGGAAUGGAGAUGCCAAGUACAUCGAUGGCAACGAGUCAUGGCAUGAGGGAAGGUUGCUGUCCAGCAACAUGGCUUCUUGUUCCAGCUGUGACACUGCAUUUGAGGACUCCAUGAGGGAAUCGCUCAUCCUCACACGGAAACGCUGCUCCACGUUCUGAACAAGGGUGAAAACCUCAUCAGAUGGACGGUAAUCUGGCUCUAGUUUGGUCUGUGUUGAAGAUUUUUUUAAACUUUAGAUUAAUCAAAUUGUGGUUUUUUUUAAUGCCGAAUUAAUCCUUUUCCGGUUUACCAGAGCCCUCUCUGCUCUCUUUCUUAGUAAUCUCUCCCUUCUCAGUUGCCUCAUUAGAUCCUCCACGUGAGCCCGGUCACAACUGACCCUGGCAAACUGGCCUCUUCAUAGCUGACCCCUGACUGACUGGCUCCUGGCACACUGAUCUCUGGGAAGCCAUACAUCCGGAACCCCUUCUCGGAUCGAUUAGAGCAUCCAAAUGCUGCACAUCCAACCAUGGGCCCAGGAAACAGAUGAAGAGGAUGUCCCUUUCACAAAGGAACCUUUUUGUUUUUUUCAAAAUGGUUAGGCUCCUGGAUGCCCCAGAGUUCUGUAUUGCUUUUUUGUAAAUAGUUGUAAUAAUUGUUGUUCGCACAAUUAUGCUUCUGUUUUUCACUUUUUGGUGUCCAUUGUUCAGCCACUGUAUUGGUAAGCAACAAUUUGUUUUGGCCAAAAUGUGUUAUUCACACUCCUGACUCCAGUUUGAUGUGCUGCACUCUCCUCUGAGUGGUCCUGAUUUCAGGCAGAGGUCAUGGCUUGGAAGGUUUUAUAUCCUGUAGUGCCUCAACAGAACCUAAUAUGAAUUGCUUUUUUCAGUUUCUCUUUUUUUUAUUGUCUCGUCGCUGGAUCACCUCCCCCUGGCAAAGUGGCCUCGUCAUUGACAAACCUGUUUGUGUUGCUCUAUUGAACCAUGGUUCAACAGGAGCUUCUGUAAAUAGUUUUGUAAAUAGUUUGAAUAUUUAUCAUAGUAAUCAUUUUCAGUCUCCCACUCUCUCAAUUUAAUUUAUCGUUUCUUUGCCCCACCAUAUGUUUUGUUGUCCAAGGGCACUCAUUUG